Molecule: long non-coding RNA, 358 nt
Organism: Oncorhynchus keta (chum salmon)
Lineage: Eukaryota; Metazoa; Chordata; Actinopteri; Salmoniformes; Salmonidae
Exons: 4
Source: RefSeq, a predicted model, not a curated record
ACUAGUAACCAGCAGGUAGACUAGUGGUUAGAGCGUUGGACUAGUAACCAGCAGGUAGACUAGUGGUUAGAGCGUUGGACUAGUAACCAGCAGGUAGACUAGUGGUUAGAGCGUUGGACUAGUAACCAGCAGGUAGACUAGUGGUUAGAGCGUUGGACUAGUAACCAGCAGGUAGACUAGUGGUUAGAGCGUUGGACUAGUAACCAGCAGGUAGACUAGUGGUUAGAGCGUUGGACUAGUAACCAGCAGGUAGACUAGUGGUUAGAGCGUUGGACUAGUAACCAGCAGGUAGACUAGUGGUUAGAGCGUUGGACUAGUAACCAGCAGGUAGACUAGUGGUUAGAGCGUUGGACUAGUA